UUGGUUCUCCCGCAACACUAACUUGUGAACUCGGUCAGGUCCGGAAGGAAGCAGCCGCAGCAGGCGACGUGUGUGCCGGGAUGUAGCUGG
This 90-nucleotide signal recognition particle RNA is filed under the name Gibbsiella quercinecans. Its description in RNAcentral is "Bacterial small signal recognition particle RNA". It matches the Rfam family "Bacterial small signal recognition particle RNA". Rfam says of the family: The signal recognition particle (SRP) is a universally conserved ribonucleoprotein involved in the co-translational targeting of proteins to membranes. Archaeal SRP consists of a 7S RNA and homologues of the eukaryotic SRP19 and SRP54 proteins. The record is from RNAcentral. Lineage: Bacteria; Pseudomonadati; Pseudomonadota; Gammaproteobacteria; Enterobacterales; Yersiniaceae.